This 32-nucleotide non-coding RNA is filed under the name Mus musculus (house mouse). Lineage: Eukaryota; Metazoa; Chordata; Mammalia; Rodentia; Muridae. The record is from RNAcentral.
UCCAAAAUGUGCUCCAGAAGCAGGCCAUGGAU